RNAcentral lists this ribosomal RNA (147 nucleotides) under uncultured bacterium. RNAcentral's name for it is "partial 16S ribosomal RNA". It matches the Rfam family "Bacterial small subunit ribosomal RNA", at positions 8 to 160 of the family's 1533-position model. The record is from RNAcentral.
AGAGUUUGAUCCUGGCUCAGAAUGAACGUUGGCGGCGUGGAUUAGGCAUGCAAGUCGAGCGAGAACCCCGCAAGGGGGGACAGCGGCAAACGGGGUAGUAAUGUGUCGGAACGUGCCCUGAGGUCGGGGAUAGCGGCGGGAAACUGC